This 76-nucleotide small RNA is filed under the name Xanthomonas vasicola. Its description in RNAcentral is "sX9 sRNA". It matches the Rfam family "Xanthomonas sRNA sX9". The record is from RNAcentral. Lineage: Bacteria; Pseudomonadati; Pseudomonadota; Gammaproteobacteria; Lysobacterales; Lysobacteraceae. RNAcentral also lists the same sequence under 10 other names.
AUGUACCACCCGUACACUGCGUUGCUGAUCUGCCGUCCACGCCCACCUGACGACUGCGCACGACGUUCUGUUACCC